UAGGGAAUCUUCGGCAAUGGACGAAAGUCUGACCGAGCAACGCCGCGUGAGUGAAGAAGGUUUUCGGAUCGUAAAACUCUGUUGGUAGAGAAGAACGUUGGUGAGAGUGGAAAGCUCAUCAAGUGACGGUAACUACCCAGAAAGGGACGGCUAACUACGUGCCAGCAGCCGCGGUAAUACGUAGGUCCCGAGCGUUGUCCGGAUUUAUUGGGCGUAAAGCGAGCGCAGGUGGUUUAUUAAGUCUGGUGUAAAAGGCAGUGGCUCAACCAUUGUAUGCAUUGGAAACUUGUAGACUUGAGUGCAGGAGAGGAGAGUGGAAUUCCAUGUGUAGCGGUGAAAUGCGUAGAUAUAUGGAGGAACACCGGUGGCGAAAGCGGCUCUCUGGCCUGUAACUGACACUGAUGCUCGAAAGCGUGGGGAGCAAACA
RNAcentral lists this ribosomal RNA (427 nucleotides) under uncultured bacterium. RNAcentral describes it as "partial 16S ribosomal RNA". It matches the Rfam family "Bacterial small subunit ribosomal RNA", at positions 355 to 774 of the family's 1533-position model. The record is from RNAcentral.